UACGUAGGGGCCAAGCGUUGUCCGGAUUUAUUGGGCGUAAAGAGCUCGUAGGCGGUUGGGUAAGUCGGGUGUGAAAACUCCAGGCUCAACUUGGAGAUGCCACCCGAUACUGCUCUGACUUGAGUUCGGUAGGGGAGUGGGGAAUUCCUGGUGUAGCGGUGAAAUGCGCAGAUAUCAGGAGGAACACCGGUGGCGAAGGCGGGUCUCUGGGCCGAUACUGACGCUGAGGAGCGAAAGCGUGGGGAGCGAACAGG
RNAcentral lists this ribosomal RNA (254 nucleotides) under uncultured bacterium. Its description in RNAcentral is "partial 16S ribosomal RNA". It matches the Rfam family "Bacterial small subunit ribosomal RNA", at positions 524 to 776 of the family's 1533-position model. The record is from RNAcentral.